UCAAGUUAUUAAGGGUGCAGGGCGAAUGCCUUGGCACUAGGAGCCGAUGAAGGACGUGAUAAGCUGCGAUAAGCUUCGGGGAGUUGCACGUAAACUUUGAUCCGAAGAUUUCCGAAUGAGGAAACUCACUUAGAGUAAUGUCUAAGUAUCGUAUGAUGAAUACAUAGUCAUGCGAGGGGAACCCGGAGAACUGAAACAUCUAAGUACCCGGAGGAAGAGAAAGAAAUUCGAUUCCGUAAGUAGCGGCGAGCGAACGCGGAACAGGCCAAACCAGUGAAGUUUUCUUCGCUGGGGUUGCGGACAUAUCAUAACGAAGAGGUAUCGUAGAAGAAGAGAGUUGGAAAGCUCCGCCAUAGAUGGUAACAGCCCAGUAUUUUAAACGAGAAGACUUUAGAUAUGAUCCAGAGUACCACGGGACACGUGAAACCCUGUGGGAAGCAGGAGGGACCAUCCUCCAAGCCUAAAUACUACCUAGUGACCGAUAGCGUAUAGUACCGUGAGGGAAAGGUGAAAAGAACCCCGGGAGGGGAGUGAAAGAGAACCUGAAACCCUGCACUUACAAGCUGUAGGAGCACAUUAUUUGUGUGACUGCGUACUUUUUGUAGAACGGGCCAACGAGUUACGUUGUGUAGCAAGGUUAAGCACUUAAGGUGUGGAGCCGUAGCGAAAGCGAGUCUUAAAUGGGCGUCCAGUUACCCGACGUAGACCCGAAACCAGGCGACCUAUCCAUGAGCAGGUUGAAGCGAAAGUAAAAUUUCGUGGAGGACCGAACCCACGUACGUUGAAAAGUGCGGGGAUGACUUGUGGAUAGCGGUGAAAUUCCAAUCGAGCCUGGAGAUAGCUGGUUCUCCCCGAAAUAGCUUUAGGGCUAGCCUCAAGCUUAGAGAAACGGAGGUAGAGCACUGAAUGUCCUAGGGGGUAUUGCACUUACCGAAGACUAUCAAACUCCGAAUGCCGUAUUCUUUUGCUUGGGAGUCAGACUAUGGGUGAUAAGAUUCAUAGUCAAGAGGGCAACAGCCCAGAUCGUCAGCUAAGGUCCCUAAAUGUAAGUUAAGUGGUAAAGGAUGUGGAAUUGCACAGACAACCAGGAUGUUGGCUUAGAAGCAGCCACUCAUUUAAAGAGUGCGUAAUAGCUCACUGGUCGAGUGAUUCUGCGCCGAAAAUUUCCGGGGCUAAAACUUACUACCGAAGCUACGGCAUCAUUAUGAUGGGUAGGGGAGCUUUCUAUGCGGCUUGAAGCAUGACCGUAAGGACAUGUGGACUGCAUAGAAGUGAGAAUGUUGGCAUGAGUAGCGAGAUGUGGGUGAGAAUCCCACAGGCCGUAAACCCAAGGUUUCCAGGGGAAGGUUCGUCCGCCCUGGGUUAGUCAGGACCUAAGCCGAGGCCGAAAGGCGUAGGUGAUGGACAACAGGUUGAUAUUCCUGUACCACCAAUAACCGUUUGAGAAAUGGGAUGACACAGUAGGAUAAGCUAACCGCACUGUUGGUUAUGUGCGGGCAAGUAUUGAGGCAGUUCCGAUAGGCAAAUCCGUCGGAAUAAUGCUGGGGUACGAUGCGGAGCGAAAUUUAGUAGCGAAGUAGCUGAUUUCACACUGUCGAGAAAAGUCUCUAUCGAGGUUAAAGGUGCCUGUACCGCAAACCGACACAGGUGGGUGAGGAGAGUAUCCUAAGGCCAGCGAGAGAACUGUUGUUAAGGAACUCGGCAAAAUGACCCCGUAACUUAGGGAGAAGGGGUGCCUUCGAAAGAAGGCCGCAGAGAAUAGGCCCAAGCGACUGUUUACCAAAAACAUAGGUUUCUGCUAAGUCGCAAGACGAUGUAUAGGAGCUGACGCCUGCCCGGUGCUGGAAGGUUAAGGGGAUCUGUUAGAGCAAUCGAAGCAGUGAACUUAAGCCCCAGUAAACGGCGGCCGUAACUAUAACGGUCCUAAGGUAGCGAAAUUCCUUGUCGGGU
Molecule: ribosomal RNA, 1950 nt
Filed under: human gut metagenome
Description: bacterial LSU rRNA
Rfam family: Bacterial large subunit ribosomal RNA
Source: RNAcentral